AUGCUUCCUCCAACAUCAUCUGAUACCGCCGUAACAAAAUUCGUGGCAGAGCACAAACUGCUAAUGCAUCGGGAAUCAAACACAACUGGGAUUCUAGAAUUCUAGGAGAACUACCAACACCUUAAUCUCUCGUCUUUCAUUUCAAUAUGGGCAGGUCCCUGGUCUCCUCUGCUAACUUUGCUCUGAAAUUUUCUAAAAGACCCAGAUCAAUUUUACCCCCAAGUUUACCAAGCCAGUCUAUUCCCCUCAACUCAAGGCAGCAAUUGCGACAUGGGUCUCAAAGAUUGGGACUUUCAAUUUCCAAACCAACAAGAACUCUCUGCACCAAAGCUGUGCUAUCCGAAAUUCCAAAUCAGAAGCAGUAUGUGAAAGUGGGUGCCCCAUCAACUGGGCCCAUCCCAGCUGGUCAGCUCAUUGAAGUGGUUGAGAAGGCUGCUAAGACUGGUGCUGAGGUUGUGAUGGAUGCUGUUAAUAAGCCUCAGAAUAUUACCUAUAAAGGACUUACUGACCUGGUUACUGACACAGAUAAAAAGAGUGAAGGGGCCAUAUUAGAAGUUGUGGAAAAGAACUUUCCAGACCACCUUAUUCUUGGAGAAGAGGGUGGAAUUAUUGGAGAUGCAUCAUCUGACUAUCUGUGGUGCAUCGAUCCAUUAGAUGGAACGACAAAUUUUGCACAUGGUUACCCUAGCUUUGCAGUUUCUGUGGGAGUUCUAUAUCGAGGAAAACCUGCUGCUUCUGCUGUGGUAGAGUUUGUUGGAGGCCCAAUGUGUUGGAACACUCGCAUCUUUUCUGCUAGUGCUGGUGGGGGAGCAUUUUGUAAUGGCCAAAAGAUUCACGUGAGUCAGACAGAUAAGGUGGAACGAUCUCUUCUUGUUACUGGGUUUGGUUAUGAACACGAUGAUCCAUGGGCCACCAACAUAGAACUAUUCAAAGAAUUCACUGAUGUCAGCAGGGGUGUGAGAAGGCUCGGUGCUGCUGCAGUAGACAUGUGCCACGUAGCUCUUGGUAUCGUAGAAGCAUACUGGGAAUAUCGACUAAAGCCAUGGGAUAUGGCUGCUGGUGUUUUGAUAGUUGAGGAAGCUGGAGGCGUGGUUACAUGCAUGGAUGGUGGAAAAUUUUGUGUCUUUGAUAGAUCUGUUUUGGUAUCCAAUGGAAUGCUGCAUUCCAAGCUUUUGGAGAGGAUUGCACCAGCAACUGAGAAUUUGAAGAGCAAAGAAAUUGAUUUCUCAUUGUGGUAUAAGCCUGACAAUUACAGGACAGAACUUUAAAUCUACUGAAAAUUACUUACUUUUUUGGCCAAGACUGCUGGAAGCAUAAGUAAGGGAAGGCCAGCGCCAGUAACGAUUGUCUUCAGCCCAAGUGAUUUUGAGAUCCCUUGGAUACACCAUGAAGCAGUUGUUGGACUUCUUGUCAACCCAAUACUUCUGUAAUAACAGUGACAUUGUUAGUACUCGGGGGAGAAAAAAAAA
This is an RNA transcript of Argentina anserina (silverweed cinquefoil), 1469 nucleotides long. It is a transcript of the gene named phosphatase IMPL1, chloroplastic, with no coding region annotated. NCBI's taxonomy places the organism in Eukaryota, Viridiplantae, Streptophyta, Magnoliopsida, Rosales, Rosaceae. The transcript has 11 exons. The record is from RefSeq and is a predicted model, not a curated record.